This 279-nucleotide ribosomal RNA is filed under the name Triticum aestivum (bread wheat). RNAcentral's name for it is "partial small subunit ribosomal RNA". Lineage: Eukaryota; Viridiplantae; Streptophyta; Magnoliopsida; Poales; Poaceae. The record is from RNAcentral.
AUGGGUUACCUCGACGGCUCGAUCAAGGAACCCGUUGCUGUCAUCGUCACCGAGAAGGAAACCACCGGGAAGAAGGAGAUCACCUCCACGCCGAAUCCAGAGCAUGCGAUCUGGGUCACCCAAGAUCAACAGGUGCUCACCUUUUUGCUUGCCUCCUUGUCCCGCGAGGUUCUGAUGCAAGUCUCCAACCACACCACGGCCGCGGGCAUCUGGCAAGCCCUAGUCGAGAGCUUCUCUGCGCAGUCCAGGGCGCGCCAGAUUCAGCUCCGAUCGGCGAUC